GUUAGUAUUCUGUGCAUUCUCUGUGACGAUGGUGUUAGUAUCAGGGUUGUAAAUUGACACCUUCCUGGUGAACAUGGGUCACAAAGCUCUUGGAAUGAAGAAAAACCGUUAUGAAAGAAUUAGAUUAUAAGAAAAAUUAAAUAUGGAAUGACUUUAAAAUUUGGCCACUACAACUGACGCAACAAAGAAGAAUUUUCUGUUCACUUGUAGCUAACAGUAGAUUCCAUACAUGGGUAAUUGCUGCUGUCCAAAACCUGACACCUCCGUUGGCGAGGAACCGUUCUUGAAAGAGGGGAAUUGUGGUAUGAUCUGUUCUUAACAGUUCCUCCAAACAGGCCCUGUGCACAAAAAUUAAUAAUUGGAAUAGCAAUUUAAUCACCCAGAUUCAAAAUAUGGACUGUGUUGCACAACCUAUCAAAAUUUCAAGUAAUUUGGUGCACGCUCUGGCAAACUCAAUGUCUUCAAAACUUGGAUUAUUUCGAGUUUGUGCAUUUCAAACAAAGUUUGUUCUAUCAUAUCAAGUUCAAUUUAUGCAUUAUCGGGAAAUUGCAUAAAUUACAAUAUGAAAUUAUCAACUCCAA
Xenia sp. Carnegie-2017 is the source of this 581-nucleotide long non-coding RNA. RefSeq lists it as uncharacterized. The record is from RefSeq and is a predicted model, not a curated record. The transcript has 3 exons. NCBI's taxonomy places the organism in Eukaryota, Metazoa, Cnidaria, Anthozoa, Malacalcyonacea, Xeniidae.